This 75-nucleotide transfer RNA is filed under the name Alistipes sp. RNAcentral's name for it is "tRNA-Pro". It matches the Rfam family "tRNA". From Rfam's summary of the family: Transfer RNA (tRNA) molecules are approximately 80 nucleotides in length. Their secondary structure includes four short double-helical elements and three loops (D, anti-codon, and T loops). Further hydrogen bonds mediate the characteristic L-shaped molecular structure. tRNAs have two regions of fundamental functional importance: the anti-codon, which is responsible for specific mRNA codon recognition, and the 3' end, to which the tRNAs corresponding amino acid is attached (by aminoacyl-tRNA synthetases). tRNAs cope with the degeneracy of the genetic code in two manners: having more than one tRNA (with a specific anti-codon) for a particular amino acid; and 'wobble' base-pairing, i.e. permitting non-standard base-pairing at the 3rd anti-codon position. The record is from RNAcentral. Lineage: Bacteria; Pseudomonadati; Bacteroidota; Bacteroidia; Bacteroidales; Rikenellaceae.
CGAGGUGUAGCGCAGCCCGGUUAGCGCACCUGCUUUGGGAGCAGGGGGUCCCAGGUUCGAAUCCUGGUACCUCGA